Long non-coding RNA from Vicia villosa (hairy vetch), 538 nucleotides. RefSeq lists it as uncharacterized. The record is from RefSeq and is a predicted model, not a curated record. The transcript has 2 exons. Lineage: Eukaryota; Viridiplantae; Streptophyta; Magnoliopsida; Fabales; Fabaceae.
AUUAUUUUUUUUGCACAAUUUACACUUUAUACACUAUAAAGGUGUCAAAAAAUAUUUUAUUUCUUACAUCCAAUUAGAUAAAAAUAUGGUCAAGACUAUCAAAUUUGUGUACGUUAUAUUUUUAUUUCUUUCAAUAUUUCUUGUUGCAAAGACCAUUGAACAUGAUGUAAUGGAAUAUCAGCUUAUAAAAAAAGAAGUAUAUAAAUGUCAAACGGUUGAUGAUUGUCCAAGACUUAAUACUUUUCUCAUGGCCAAAUGCAUUGACAACAAAUGUGUCUAUAAGUAUGUGACCUAAGAGAGUACACUUACUUUGUGCAAGGAGGAAUAAUUUGGUACUCUAAGAUGUUGGUAAUAAAAUGAAACAUUGAAAUAAAGCAUAUUAAAAUAAGAUUAUUGUUUUCUCUCUUGGAAUUAGAUGUAUUGCUAUAGCAUAAUUAUCCCACUUCCAAAUAUUUAUCUUUAAUAUACUACAUAUUUAUUUAUUAUAUGCUAUUAAAAUAACAUAUGAUAUUUUAAUAAACUACAUAUUUAUUUAUUA